GUGAAUCAUCGAAUUUUUGAACGCAAAUUGCGCUCUCUUCGGAGAGUAUGCCUGUUUGUGGGUCAGCCUAAAUAAUAAUCGACAUAUUCGCUUGGUCGCGGUUACUUUCGUUGGAGGUUUGGUCAUCUUAUAACUUUGGGUUGUUAGCGGCUUAAAAUUUUCUUUACGAUUCGACGUAUGUUUCUAACAUUUAUUUCUUAUAAUUUUAAGUUUUC
Molecule: unclassified non-coding RNA, 215 nt
Filed under: Glomus sp.
Lineage: Eukaryota; Fungi; Glomeromycota; Glomeromycetes; Glomerales; Glomeraceae
Description: partial contains 5.8S ribosomal RNA and internal transcribed spacer 2
Rfam family: 5.8S ribosomal RNA (bases 1-65)
Source: RNAcentral